GUGGGGAAUCUUGCGCAAUGGGCGAAAGCCUGACGCAGCCAUGCCGCGUGAAUGAUGAAGGUCUUAGGAUUGUAAAAUUCUUUCACCGGGGACGAUAAUGACGGUACCCGGAGAAGAAGCUCCGGCUAACUUCGUGCCAGCAGCCGCGGUAAUACGAAGGGGGCUAGCGUUGCUCGGAAUUACUGGGCGUAAAGGGCGCGUAGGCGGACAGCUUAGUCAGAGGUGAAAGCCCAGGUCUCAACCUUUGAAUUGCCUUUGAUACUGGCUGUCUUGAGUUUGGGAGAGGUGAGUGGAACUCCGAGUGUAGAGGUGAAAUUCGUAGAUAUUCGGAAGAACACCAGUGGCGAAGGCGACACACUGGCUCAUUACUGACGCUGAGGCGCGAAAGCGUGGGGAGCAAACAGGAUUAGAUACCCUGGUAGUCC
RNAcentral lists this ribosomal RNA (425 nucleotides) under uncultured bacterium. RNAcentral's name for it is "partial 16S ribosomal RNA". It matches the Rfam family "Bacterial small subunit ribosomal RNA", at positions 354 to 796 of the family's 1533-position model. The record is from RNAcentral.